AACUUAUCAAGAGUGGUGGAGGGACUGGCCCGUUGAAACCCGGCAACCUAUUAACUAUAUUAAUGUGGUGCUAAUUCCAACAGCUUAUGGCUGAUAGAUAAGGA
This is a regulatory RNA element of Clostridium celatum DSM 1785, 104 nucleotides long. It matches the Rfam family "SAM riboswitch aptamer (S box leader)". From Rfam's summary of the family: The SAM riboswitch is found upstream of a number of genes which code for proteins involved in methionine or cysteine biosynthesis in Gram-positive bacteria. The record is from Rfam. NCBI's taxonomy places the organism in Bacteria, Bacillati, Bacillota, Clostridia, Eubacteriales, Clostridiaceae.